UAGGUACAGCAGAUGAUUGCUAGCAAUUGCUAGAGGAAAGUCUGGGCUGCAAUAAGACAAGGUUCCAUCUAACGGAUGGCUGGGGUAACCCAAGGGAUAGUGCAACAGAAAGUAUACCGCCACAUUUGUGGUAAGGGUGAAACGGUAAGGUAAGAGCUUACCAGUGCUUUGAGUAAUCUCAGCAGCUAUGUAAACCCAACCUGCAGCAAGAAGUGUAUGGUAUAAGUCUUAUGAUUUUGCACUUUGCUAAAGGACUAUUGUAAAAUAGUCAUUAGAUAAAUAAUCAUCCAACGACAGAAUCCGGCUUAUCGCUGUACCUAUCUU
This 324-nucleotide RNase P RNA is filed under the name Campylobacterales bacterium. Its description in RNAcentral is "RNase P RNA component class A". It matches the Rfam family "Bacterial RNase P class A". Rfam says of the family: Ribonuclease P (RNase P) is a ubiquitous endoribonuclease, found in archaea, bacteria and eukarya as well as chloroplasts and mitochondria. Its best characterised activity is the generation of mature 5'-ends of tRNAs by cleaving the 5'-leader elements of precursor-tRNAs. The record is from RNAcentral. Lineage: Bacteria; Pseudomonadati; Campylobacterota; Epsilonproteobacteria; Campylobacterales.